CGCCCCCCACCAACCCACUCCCGCCGGGAGUCGGGUCGAGUGAAAGUGGUCGUCCCGGCGUCGGGGUCCCCCAAAACCCCGACCAAGGGUCGGCUGAAAUGGAAGGAAUCGGGCCGCCGUGGUGACACAGUCCGCGAUCGGGUGAUCCGCGCUCCCGACUUCGGGAGCCCGGUAUUUUUCUAAGUGCGUGGCUGCGUCCCCAGUUGGCUCCGGUUACCUCGUGCAGGUCGAGCGCGCCACCCCCUCCCACCUGGUGGGUCGGGGCGGCGCGCGUCACGUCACGC
RNAcentral lists this unclassified non-coding RNA (284 nucleotides) under Campyliadelphus chrysophyllus. RNAcentral describes it as "partial internal transcribed spacer 2". Lineage: Eukaryota; Viridiplantae; Streptophyta; Bryopsida; Hypnales; Amblystegiaceae. The record is from RNAcentral.